GACGAACGCUGGCGGCGUGCCUAACACAUGCAAGUUGAGCGACGAACCAGGGCUUGCCCUGGGGCAAAGCAGCGAACGGGUGAGUAACACGUGGGUAACCUACCCCGAUAACCGGGACAACCCGAGGAAACUCGGGCUAAUACCGGAUGUGCUCACUGGACUUCGGUUCAGUGCGUAAAGGAAGCUUCGGCCUCCGUAUCGGGAGGGGCCUGCGGCCCAUUAGUUUGUUGGUGAGGUAACGGCUCAACAAGACCGCGAUGGGUAGCUGGUCUGAGAGGACGGUCAUCCACACUGGGACUGAGACACGGCCCAGACUCCUACGGGAGGCAGCAGUGGGGAAACUUGCGCAAUGCGCGAAAGCGUGACGCAGCAACGCCGCGUGGGGGAAGAAGGCCUUCGGGUUGUAAACCCCUUUCAGGAGGGACGAAGGUUCGGCGGUGAAUAGCCGUCCGGACUGACGGUACCUCCACAAGAAGCCCCGGCUAACUACGUG
Molecule: ribosomal RNA, 493 nt
Filed under: uncultured bacterium
Lineage: Bacteria
Description: partial 16S ribosomal RNA
Rfam family: Bacterial small subunit ribosomal RNA
Source: RNAcentral